Molecule: long non-coding RNA, 824 nt
Organism: Aedes albopictus (Asian tiger mosquito)
Lineage: Eukaryota; Metazoa; Arthropoda; Insecta; Diptera; Culicidae
Exons: 2
Source: RefSeq, a predicted model, not a curated record
ACGCUAAGAUCAGUUUACCCAUAAAUGAGUAGUUGAUUCACCCAUAUUUGGGUUUUAUAUGCAUUACUCAUAUUAUGGGUAAAAUGUACUGAGAAAAAACGGUAAACGAUACCCACAUUGUUGGUUAAGUGAGUUUACUCAAAUAUGGGUAAUCAUGAUUUACCCAUAUUUGGAUGAAAAUUGGCAGUCGCGAUCACUUUUGUGGAAGCAGCAGUGAGCAAAACCACGACUGGGAGGAGGAAUUCGGCCAUAAUCAUCGGGAUGUACGAGACAAGCUGGUGGAAAUUACACGGAAUAGCUGUGACGCCCAGUUGAGAUUGCUGAAACGCAAGUGAAAGCUGCCGCCGCCCGGCAAUGAUUUAGAAAAAAGCGUUCCGGUGGGGAUUAUCCGAGAGAUAUGGUUUUCAUUGGCCAAGUGGACAUCCGUCGUCAGGACUCCUGAGGCGCACAGUACGCAAUAGAAUGUUUUCCGUGCCCAGUGCGAUCAAGAGUACGAUGCCACCAUUGCCGACGUUCAGCCGGAAUCGAUCCCUUCGAUUGCUACGAAGUGCACCAGCCGGUCUGUCGUCGCCAAGGCAUCUCCCCCGUUGACUCCGAUUCCACGGUACGAUGGGAUUCCGCCGCAGUGGGGUAUAUGGUGGGAUCUCCACCACCACCCCGAGCACCACCUCAUCCGAUGCACUAGGAUUGACCACAGCUGUCGUAAACUAGGUCGUUAACGAUGCGAGCGGGAGCGCAAUUUUAUCAUUUUUUUUCUACUUUCUGUUUUAAUAUGUAUUAGUUUGUUUAAGAUUAGAAUAAAGCUUCUUGUUUCUUUUUUAUUU